Molecule: ribosomal RNA, 465 nt
Filed under: Vreelandella stevensii
Lineage: Bacteria; Pseudomonadati; Pseudomonadota; Gammaproteobacteria; Oceanospirillales; Halomonadaceae
Description: partial 16S ribosomal RNA
Rfam family: Bacterial small subunit ribosomal RNA
Source: RNAcentral
CCUACGGGGGGCAGCAGUGGGGAAUAUUGGACAAUGGGGGGAACCCUGAUCCAGCCAUGCCGCGUGUGUGAAGAAGGCCCUCGGGUUGUAAAGCACUUUCAGUGAGGAAGAACGCCUGGUGGUUAAUACCCAUCAGGAAAGUCAUCACUCACAGAAGAAGCACCGGCUAACUCCGUGCCAGCAGCCGCGGUAAUACGGAGGGUGCGAGCGUUAAUCGGAAUUACUGGGCGUAAAGCGCGCGUAGGUGGCUUGAUAAGCCGGUUGUGAAAGCCCCGGGCUCAACCUGGGAACGGCAUCCGGAACUGUCAAGCUAGAGUGCAGGAGAGGAAGGUAGAAUUCCCGGUGUAGCGGUGAAAUGCGUAGAGAUCGGGAGGAAUACCAGUGGCGAAGGCGGCCUUCUGGACUGACACUGACACUGAGGUGCGAAAGCGUGGGUAGCAAACAGGAUUAGAUACCCUAGUAGUC